GAGAGUUUGAUCCUGGCUCAGGACGAACGCUGGCGGCGUGCUUAACACAUGCAAGUCGAACGGUAAGGCCCCUUCGGGGGUACACGAGUGGCGAACGGGUGAGUAACACGUGAGCAACCUGCCCUUGACUCUGGGAUAACAGUUGGAAACAGCUGCUAAUACCGGAUACGACCUUCGAUGACAUCAUCUGGAGGUGGAAAGCGCUUUAGCGGUCAAGGAUGGGCUCGCGGCCUAUCAGCUAGUUGGUGAGGUAACGGCUCACCAAGGCUUCGACGGGUAGCCGGCCUGAGAGGGCGACCGGCCACACUGGGACUGAGAUACGGCCCAGACUCCUACGGGAGGCAGCAGUGGGGAAUAUUGCACAAUGGGCGCAAGCCUGAUGCAGCAACGCCGCGUGCGGGAUGACGGCCUUCGGGUUGUAAACCGCUUUCAGUUCCGACGAAGCGCAAGUGACGGUAGGAACAGAAGAAGGACCGGCCAACUACGUGCCAGCAGCCGCGGUGAUACGUAGGGUCCGAGCGUUGUCCGGAAUUAUUGGGCGUAAAGGGCUUGUAGGCGGUUUGUCACGUCGGAAGUGAAAACUCAGGGCUUAACCCUGAGCCUGCUUCCGAUACGGGCAAACUAGAGGAAUGCAGGGGAGAAUGGAAUUCCUGGUGGAGCGGUGGAAUGCGCAGAUAUCAGGAGGAACACCGGUGGCGAAGGCGGUUCUCUGGGCAUUUCCUGACGCUGAGAAGCGAAAGCGUGGGGAGCAAACAGGCUUAGAUACCCUGGUAGUCCACGCCGUAAACGUUGGGCACUAGGUGUGGGGCCUUAUCAACGGGUUCCGUGCCGUAGCUAACGCAUUAAGUGCCCCGCCUGGGGAGUACGGCCGCAAGGCUAAAACUCAAAGGAAUUGACAGGGGCCCGCACAAGCGGCGGAGCAUGUUGCUUAAUUCGAUGCAACGCGAAGAACCUUACCUGGGUUGAACUACGCAGGAAAAGCCACAGGUGCUGCAUGGCUGUCGUCAGCUCGUGUCGUGAGAUGUUGGGUUAAGUCCCGCAACGAGCGCAACCCUCGACCCUAGUUACCAGCGGGUAAAGCCGGGCACUCUAGGGUGACUGCCGGUGCCAAACCGGAGGAAGGUGGGGACGACGUCAAGUCAUCAUGGUCCUUACGUCCAGGGCUACACACGUGCUACAAUGGGCGGGACAAAGGGUUGCAGAGCCGCAAGGUGAAGCCAAUCCCGUAAACCCGUCCUCAGUUCGGAUUGUCGUCUGCAACUCGACGGCAUGAAGCUGGAAUCGCUAGUAAUCGUGGAUCAGCUACGCCACGGUGAAUACGUUCCCGGGCCUUGUACACACCGCCCGUCACGCCAUGGAAGCUGCGAGCGCCCGAAGUCCGUGCCGGAACCUGGGCAACCAGGACCAAGCGGCCGAAGGCGAGCGUAGUGACUGGGGCGAAGUCGUAACAAGGUAGCCGUAG
RNAcentral lists this ribosomal RNA (1462 nucleotides) under uncultured Actinomycetes bacterium. RNAcentral describes it as "bacterial SSU rRNA". It matches the Rfam family "Bacterial small subunit ribosomal RNA". The record is from RNAcentral. Lineage: Bacteria; Bacillati; Actinomycetota; Actinomycetes.